ACUCCUACGGGAGGCAGCAGUGGGGAAUAUUGCACAAUGGGGGCAACCCUGAUCCAGCGAUGCCGCGUGUGUGAAGAAGGCCUGAGGGUUGUAAAGCACUUUUAGUGGGGAGGAAAGUUAACAGGUUAAGAGCUAGUUAAGUUGACGUUACCCACCAUAAACAGCACCGGCUAACUCCGUGCCAGCAGCCGCGGUAAUACGGGGG
This 205-nucleotide ribosomal RNA is filed under the name uncultured bacterium. Its description in RNAcentral is "partial 16S ribosomal RNA". It matches the Rfam family "Bacterial small subunit ribosomal RNA", at positions 335 to 531 of the family's 1533-position model. The record is from RNAcentral.